Molecule: ribosomal RNA, 504 nt
Filed under: uncultured bacterium
Lineage: Bacteria
Description: partial 16S ribosomal RNA
Rfam family: Bacterial small subunit ribosomal RNA
Source: RNAcentral
GACGAACGCUGGCGGCAUGCCUUACACAUGCAAGUCGAACGGCAGCAUGGAGAGCUUGCUCUCUGAUGGCGAGUGGCGAACGGGUGAGUAAUGCAUCGGAACGUACCGUGUAAUGGGGGAUAACGUAGCGAAAGUUACGCUAAUACCGCAUACGACCUGAGGGUGAAAGCAGGGGAUCGCAAGACCUUGCGUUAUACGAGCGGCCGAUGUCAGAUUAGCUAGUUGGUGAGGUAAAGGCUCACCAAGGCGACGAUCUGUAGCGGGUCUGAGAGGAUGAUCCGCCACGCUGGGACUGAGACACGGCCCAGACUCCUACGGGAGGCAGCAGUGGGGAAUUUUGGACAAUGGGGGCAACCCUGAUCCAGCCAUGCCGCGUGAGUGAAGAAGGCCUUCGGGUUGUAAAGCUCUUUCGGCCGGGAAGAAAUCGCACAGGCUAAUACUCUGUGUGGAUGACGGUACCGGCAAAAGAAGCACCGGCUAACUACGUGCCAGCAGCCGCGGUAA